GAUGAAGAACGUAGCGAAAUGCGAUAAGUAAUGUGAAUUGCAGAAUUCAGUGAAUCAUCGAAUCUUUGAACGCACAUUGCGCCCCCUGGUAUUCCGGGGGGCAUGCCUGUUCGAGCGUCAUUUCACCACUCAAGCCUCGCUUGGUAUUGGGCAACGCGGUCCGCCGCGUGCCUCAAAUCGACCGGCUGGGUCUUCUGUCCCCUAAGCGUUGUGGAAACUAUUCGCUAAAGGGUGUUCGGGAGGCUACGCCGUAAAACAACCCCAUUUCUAAGGUUGACCUCGGAUCAGGUAGGGAUACCCGCUGGACUUAAGCAUAUCAAUAAGCGGAGGA
RNAcentral lists this unclassified non-coding RNA (331 nucleotides) under soil metagenome. Its description in RNAcentral is "partial contains 5.8S ribosomal RNA, internal transcribed spacer 2, and large subunit ribosomal RNA". The stretch from base 1 to 120 matches the Rfam family "5.8S ribosomal RNA", at positions 35 to 154 of the family's 154-position model. The record is from RNAcentral.